UUUCUCUCAACUACCAAGACCAAAUGGAGAAUAUAAAAGGAUGGAAGUUGGAAACCUAGGGGGACGCGUAAUUUUCCUAUUUGAAGCCAGCUUUUGAGACCUUUCUCUGCAUUUUAGUUUUCCACAGCAAUUCUAUUUUUCUUUUAUUUUUCUUCAGCAACAUUGUUUUCUUUUACCGUUCAGAGCUUUGAUUUUCCCUUUUCCCUUUCCGUUUUUUCAUUUAGCC
RNAcentral lists this long non-coding RNA (226 nucleotides) under Lathyrus oleraceus (garden pea). RNAcentral's name for it is "Pisum sativum (pea) long non-coding RNA (PSAT_LNC026925)". The record is from RNAcentral. Lineage: Eukaryota; Viridiplantae; Streptophyta; Magnoliopsida; Fabales; Fabaceae.